UACGUAGGGGACAAGCGUUAUCCGGAUUUACUGGGCGUAAAGCGCCCGUAGGCGGCCUGACAAGUUGGACGUGAAAGCUCCUGGCUUAACUGGGAGAGGCCGUUCAAAACUGUCAAGCUAGAGUCUGGAAGAGGAGAGCGGAAUUCCCGGUGUAGUGGUGGAAUGCGUAGAGAUCGGGAGGAACACCAGUGGCGAAAGCAGCUCUCUGGUCCAAAACUGACGCUGAGGGGCGAAAGCGUGGGGAGCGAACGGG
This 253-nucleotide ribosomal RNA is filed under the name uncultured bacterium. RNAcentral's name for it is "partial 16S ribosomal RNA". It matches the Rfam family "Bacterial small subunit ribosomal RNA", at positions 524 to 776 of the family's 1533-position model. The record is from RNAcentral.